GCUAAACGCGAAGAACCUUACCUAGGCUUGACAUAUACCGAAAACUCACAGAGAUGUGGGGUCCGCAAGGGCGGUAUACAGGUGGUGCAUGGUUGUCGUCAGCUCGUGUCGUGAGAUGUUGGGUUAAGUCCCGCAACGAGCGCAACCCUCGUCCUAUGUUGCCAGCGCGUUAUGGCGGGGACUCAUAGGAGACUGCCGGGGUCAACUCGGAGGAAGGUGGGGAUGAGGUCAAAUCAUCAUGCCCCUUAUGUCUAGGGCUGCACGCAUGCUACAAUGGUCGGUACAAAGGGCUGCGAUACCGCAAGGUGGAGCGAAUCCCAAAAAGCCGGCCUCAGUUCGGAUUGGGGUCUGCAACUCGACCCCAUGAAGUCGGAGUCGCUAGUAAUCGCAGAUCAGCAACGCUGCGGUGAAUACGUUCCCGGGUCUUGUACACACC
This 436-nucleotide ribosomal RNA is filed under the name uncultured bacterium. RNAcentral's name for it is "bacterial SSU rRNA". It matches the Rfam family "Bacterial small subunit ribosomal RNA", at positions 954 to 1391 of the family's 1533-position model. The record is from RNAcentral.